Molecule: long non-coding RNA, 3931 nt
Organism: Gavialis gangeticus (Gharial)
Lineage: Eukaryota; Metazoa; Chordata; Crocodylia; Gavialidae
Exons: 3
Source: RefSeq, a predicted model, not a curated record
GUCUCCCACAAGUCGAUGUCAAUGUUGCAUUUUUUUCAAGUUGGUCUUGGGGAUGUCCUUGAAGCACUUUCUUUGUCCCCCCUCUUGAGCAUACAUCUUGACUGAGCUGGAAGAAUAAAACUUGGUUCAGGAGUCUGAAGUUGGACAUCUGGACAAAGUGUUAGAAGUAGAAGAGUUUACAGUGUAGUCUAAAUAACCCUGUGAGUUAUGCAUGAUCUUUUUUGGUACUGUUGUGAAGUAGACUGAAUGUCCCUGGAUGUAAAAGGUACAGCCAUUCUCCACUUUAUUUCACUUUAACUUGUUGCAGUGGAGACCAGCAGGUCCCUCUCCUGGCAGAAACCUGGAAGGAAAAAAUUCAAAACAACCCAGAAGGAACCAGAAACCUGAGAAAGGAAGAGAGACAGCUGAAAUAAUGCCCUCAUGGGAAUCUGCUUAUUGUACAUUACAGUUCAUCUGGAUGGGUAUAUUAAUUUGUGUCUCACUGUGAGAAGGGUCAAGCAAAUUGGUUUCAUUUAUAUAAUCAGCUUGACACUUCUGACCCAAAUUUCAGUCUGCCUCAGUCAUUACUGAGAACUGGGGGAAACACCAAAGAUAUAUAGAAGUUUAGAUAAAUGUCCAACCCCCCCCCAAAAUAAAAAAUAAAAAUAAAAAAAUUGUUCCAGAAUGUUUAUCCUGGAGAACAGGCUGGAAAUCUGGUGGGAACAGGUUUUAUCCUAGUUUUGAGCUGAAAAUAGCCUUACUCAUAGCAUUACAUUAUAUUUGAUUCCUAUCCUGGCUGGAACAAAAUAUUAGGAGCUCCAGGGAGAUUUGAAAGGCACAAACAAAACUACCAAAGCUUUCUGACUAUCCAAAAUAAGCUCUAGUCGAGUCUUGGGUGAUGUUCUAGUUUGCUGAGGUUUCUAUUUCAGCCAAGCUGGUUAAUAAUAACAGAUGAAAGUCAAGUAUUUACUCAAGUUAUUUCCCUAUUGACUUGCUUGAUUUGGGUCUGUCAAAGGAGAAUAAAGAGAUCUGUAUUUGGCCAGUUAGUAGGAAUGGUCAGUGUUUCUAUAGCAUUUUUCAUCCAGGCCCUCUAAAGAUUUGGCUAAGUCUCACUAUCAUCAUGUUACAGCUGGGGAAUGGGUGGCAAAGGGAUUUGUCUAGGGUCAUGCAGUGAGCCAUUGUCAGAGCUGGGGAUAGAGCCCAGGCUGUUUGACUCCUUAGCCUGUUCUCUGCCCAGCACAUCAUGCUUCCUUUUGCUCAGCUACCCAGUGGGAUCUUCCCUGGGCAUUUGUGAAGCAAAGUGGCCUGAUCUUUACAGCAGCUGUUUCUGAACACAAGUCACAUGCUGCAUACACAAAAUUGAUCUCGCUAGUUAAAAUAAUGCAUGCUAGUCUCUAGAGAAAAGUAUCCAGAGGUGGCUAUGACUAGACUAGAUAAGUUCCUUUGCACAACAACUUUUUAAAAAUAUGGGACCAAGCGAUCCCAGUGAAGCAAAACACCUGGAGAAAUUAUAAUGUCCACAGCAACCUUACAAGAUUUUUGUAGCGUAUUCCUGCAGAAGAGAGGCCGAGAGAGUUGUCUCUGAAGUUGUAUCUUCUGAUACCCAGUGGUCAUUUUAUUGUAAGCUGAACUGGUGUUUUAGUAUGGACUGUUUGUCAUUGGCACUUACAGGCUUGGAAUGACAAGUCUAUCCAAAGUUGGGGGGUUUAUAGGAAAUGCUUAUCUAGCUUCUGUCUCCUGGAAAUCCCACAGUCCCAGUGGGAUGACUUUAGUGGGAAGAGUCUGGGCCAUGAGUGGUAGCUUUUGGUGCACAUUCCUCUGCUUGGGAUGAAUUCCACGUUAGAAGAGGUAAUGUUUUCCACAGUGAAAUUGUUCUGCAACCUCAAAAGGGCUCCAUUGUCCAUUGCUUGCUUUCCCCCCUGAGGCUUUUGCCCAGGAAAUGCUGGGUUUCCACUGCAUGUGAUUUGCACACGUUCUUGUUUGUGUAAGCAACGUUCUGCCACAUUCAGCAAACACUAAAAUUCACAUGCGGCAAAGGCCCAUUAUUUUCCAGUUUCGGGUGGGGGUGGAGGGUUGCAUUCCAGCCCUGAUUUUAUCUGCUAAUAUCAUAUUUUGGCUUCAUUCCCUGAUAGUUUGAUGUCCCAAAUUUUCCUUGUUAGCACAGGGAAAUCACAAGCUGGUAGGGAGCAAACGCCAGUAGGUCUGGGAUUGAUUACAAACAAAACUCCCAGAUAAGAUCAUAAAUUUAACCCAUCUCUGUGAUGUGAUCGUAUCAGGAUUCAAGUACGUCUAAAAAGUUGUUUCCGAUUUUCAGCCACUUCAUAUGGUUUCUAUCCAUCCCGGCUGUGAGCGAAGCGCGCUCGUGGUGGGGACCCUAAUCCAUGCCAGCCCGGCUCAGGAGAAGCCCUCGUUUCUGUUAUUAUUGUAUUAUAAAAACGGAUAGAAAUGAUUCAGACAAGAUGGACAUUUCAAGGAGGAUCAGUUCAAACACUGGCAAGAUAAGAUGGGCUUGAUCAUAAGAAAACAGGGCUGUUUUCCCAUUUGGUUCCUGAGCUGAGUUGAAUUUAAACAAAUUCAUCCCCUGGGUUAACCCCAUCAAAGUCAAGGGAGCAGCACCAGCCCUGGAACUGGCUCCUGAUGCUUUAUACAUUAUAUAUAAUGAAGAUCUAUCUAUCUUUCUUUCUUUAAAGAAUGAUCUGAUUGAAACACAUUGGGUCAGUUUCAGGAAAAGCAGUAUAUAUAGCAUUUUACCGCUCCCUGAUCUCAAAUGCAUCUUCCACGCACCAGGAGAGAUUUUUGUGCUCGGCUUACAAUGGCUCCUGUGCUAACAUUUACCUCCCUUUAUACAGGCUGUACAUCUAAGCUGCCCUUUUUCCCUAGGGCAAAUGACCAUUGGGUUCCAGCUUCUUUGCCUGAAACCAGAUUGAGGGUUACACCUUCCUCAGUGCCAGGAGUCAAUGCUCUCCCAUCCAUCCCCCUCACCCUAUGGUACCAGGUGAUUUAAUGUUACUGUUGCUUUAACAGCCUCAUCGCUGUUCUGGCUACACAGUAGUUGUCUCCUGUGUGACUGUGCCUGGGAAAAUCUAUUACUGGAGUGUCAUUAAUCUGAGGCUGCCGCCUCUGGCACUUUCUGACUCUUCUAUUUAAUGGGCCUGUGCUUCCUGAGCUCUGGAGACAUGCUGUUUUCCUCUCUUGAUCAGCUUUGUUUAAUUAUCAAAAUAUUUGAUGCAGAAAAUUGACAUUAGUGGUGAAGGUUUCUGCCUUCCUCCUCUUCACACCCUCCCUCCCUGCCUCGUGGUGACAUUGAGAUCUUCCGCCUGCGCCGCCUGCACCACCUGCACCUUAAAAUAGCAAACCGCUUGUACAAUCAUGUGCUUGUCCAGGCGCGAGCAGCAUUAGCAAGCCACAGGUAGGGCUGCUGCAACCCCCUAGGUACACGGUGCAGCACCUCACCCAAGCGUGAAGAGACAGGGCUGCACAGGAAACACAGCUGCACCUUCCCAUGGCAUCGCGUUCUCUGCCUGCAAAUCCAGUCAUGAACUAUGCCAGUGGUUUCGCCAAGUCUGCCUGUGGGGAGAGUCUCCAGCCCCAAGUCCCAUCCCUCAGCAUGGGUUGAUUAAGAAAUACAAGAUGCAAAAAGGUUAAAAAAAAUACAGAGCAAGGUUUUGCAUUCUGCAGCUGGAGGAGGAGUGACACUACCGCUUCACUGACUGUGGGUCUCUCCUGAAUGCUUGAAAAGCAGGCAGCCUUAGAUCUUGCUUCCUGGCUGGGCUUAUGCCUGUGCCCAGAGACCGCAGCUCCUGAUUCUCAAAUUGGAGCCAUUACCUUGUCCUUGUCAAGAGAAGAUCAAGAAGCAACUUGAUUAUGGGACAUAUGCGUCUUCCCAAGCAACAAGAGAGGCACCCUAAGAAUGAAUGGCUGGAAGUUUAAAGCCAGAGAAGUUUAAACUGAA